Mauremys reevesii (Reeves's turtle) is the source of this 699-nucleotide long non-coding RNA. RefSeq lists it as uncharacterized. The record is from RefSeq and is a predicted model, not a curated record. The transcript is spliced from 3 exons. NCBI's taxonomy places the organism in Eukaryota, Metazoa, Chordata, Testudines, Geoemydidae.
AGAACACAGACUAGCAGACCCUCAAGGGGUAGGCAGUUGUUUCAGAUUUCUGCAAGUGAUUCGUUGAACCUACUAAAUAUGUUGUUUCAUUUAAAACCAAUAGAACCAAUACAACUCACUCAGAUUUACAUUCAGUGAAGUCUCAUAAGUAAUGCAUGAAGUAUGUCUCUGAACUGUCUCCUGGAAUAUCUUAAACACCUGACAACAUGUGUGACCUUUUAUAAGGAAGAGUGAAAAGAAGUGGAACUCCUUUUCCUGUCCUCCCUCUCCAGAAAAAAGGAAGCCCAAGGUAGUGGAUACAUGUAUCUGAGAAGAAAUGUCCAAAAGAUUUAUUUUUUUAAUUAGCAAAGAAAGCAUUUUUUUCAGUUAUGACUGACUGUACUAACUGUGGAAUAUUACAGCAAAUACUGAACUUUGUGCUAUUAAUGCAUGAAGCAGAAAUGUCACAUUGAGGAAUUUUGAAUAUGAGGAUUAACAUCAAUGGAGAGAUCUGUUACUAAGGAAUCUGCUGUUGAAAACAAUUACACCAGCUCAGAGCCUCUAAGAAAAGCUUCCUCAGCUAUUUUUUCCUUGCUGGGAAAUCAACUGAUUAUAGUCAUGCACACCUGUAGGUGCUGCUUCCAGAACAAGUGUUCAGCAGUUAGACAACUUCUUCUCAUUUAGAUCCUUCCUAAAGACUCGCAUCUUUUUUUCCUUGCC